Molecule: ribosomal RNA, 332 nt
Filed under: Salmonella enterica subsp. enterica serovar Heidelberg
Lineage: Bacteria; Pseudomonadati; Pseudomonadota; Gammaproteobacteria; Enterobacterales; Enterobacteriaceae
Also listed under: 10 other names
Description: bacterial SSU rRNA
Rfam family: Bacterial small subunit ribosomal RNA
Source: RNAcentral
AAAUUGAAGAGUUUGAUCAUGGCUCAGAUUGAACGCUGGCGGCAGGCCUAACACAUGCAAGUCGAACGGUAACAGGAAGCAGCUUGCUGCUUCGCUGACGAGUGGCGGACGGGUGAGUAAUGUCUGGGAAACUGCCUGAUGGAGGGGGAUAACUACUGGAAACGGUGGCUAAUACCGCAUAACGUCGCAAGACCAAAGAGGGGGACCUUCGGGCCUCUUGCCAUCAGAUGUGCCCAGAUGGGAUUAGCUUGUUGGUGAGGUAACGGCUCACCAAGGCGACGAUCCCUAGCUGGUCUGAGAGGAUGACCAGCCACACUGGAACUGAGACACGG